RNAcentral lists this transfer RNA (71 nucleotides) under Ventrifossa garmani (Sagami grenadier). RNAcentral describes it as "tRNA-Val". The record is from RNAcentral. Lineage: Eukaryota; Metazoa; Chordata; Actinopteri; Gadiformes; Macrouridae.
CCGAGCAUAGCGAAAAAGUAAAGCACCUCCCUUACACUGAGAAGAUGCCCAUGCAAACUGGGCUGCCCGAU